UACGUAGGGGGCUAGCGUUGUCCGGAAUCAUUGGGCGUAAAGAGCGUGUAGGCGGCCCGGUAAGUCCGCUGUAAAAGUCAAAGGCUCAACCUUUGAAUGUCAGUGGAUACUGCCGGGCUAGAGUCCGGAAGAGGCGAGUGGAACUCCUGGUGUAGCGGUGAAAUGCGUAGAUAUCGAGAGGAACACCUGCGGCGAAGGCGGGUUGCUGGGCUGACACUGACGCUGAUGCGCGAAAGCUAGGGGAGCGAACGGG
Molecule: ribosomal RNA, 253 nt
Filed under: uncultured bacterium
Lineage: Bacteria
Description: partial 16S ribosomal RNA
Rfam family: Bacterial small subunit ribosomal RNA
Source: RNAcentral